GUUGGAGCUGCGCACAGGUGAUCCAUACCCGGUGCGCACUCCGCCCUCUGCGCGCACAGACUGCGCUCAUUCGCUCGCCGCUGCAGCCCGGAUGUAGCACACAGGAGGAGCGCGCACGCACGCAGAAUCGGCCCGCUCCGUGAUGAUAACAUGGCGCUGGCACACACGUAACGGUGACAAACGGCCACAAUAACACACAGGACAUGUGAGCGCUUCGAUCCGAGCCGAGCAGGUUUGCCAGGGUUUUCCAGCAUGUUUGGGAAGAAGAAGAAACGGCUGGAGAUCUCCGCUCCAUCUAACUUUGAGCACCGGGUUCACACAGGCUUUGACCCGCGGGAGCAGAAGUUCACCGGGCUGCCGCAGCAAUGGCAGAGCCUCCUGGCAGACACUGCCAACCGGCCCAAGCCCAUGGUGGACCCGUCGUACAUUACCCCCAUUCAGCUGGCACCAAUGAAGAUAUCUCCCGAGAACGC
This is a long non-coding RNA of Thalassophryne amazonica, 473 nucleotides long. RefSeq lists it as uncharacterized. Lineage: Eukaryota; Metazoa; Chordata; Actinopteri; Batrachoidiformes; Batrachoididae. The record is from RefSeq and is a predicted model, not a curated record. The transcript is spliced from 3 exons.